Molecule: transfer RNA, 66 nt
Filed under: Exitianus nanus
Lineage: Eukaryota; Metazoa; Arthropoda; Insecta; Hemiptera; Cicadellidae
Description: tRNA-Lys
Rfam family: tRNA
About the family: Transfer RNA (tRNA) molecules are approximately 80 nucleotides in length. Their secondary structure includes four short double-helical elements and three loops (D, anti-codon, and T loops).
Source: RNAcentral
CGUUAAGUAACUUAAAUUUAAAGUGUUGGUCUCUUAAACCAAAUUAUAGUAUAAUUACUCUUAAUG